AUUGAACGCUGGCGGCAGGCUUAACACAUGCAAGUCGAGCGGGGGAAGGUAGCUUGCUACUGGACCUAGCGGCGGACGGGUGAGUAAUGCUUAGGAAUCUGCCUAUUAGUGGGGGACAACAUCUCGAAAGGGAUGCUAAUACCGCAUACGUCCUACGGGAGAAAGCAGGGGAUCUUCGGACCUUGCGCUAAUAGAUGAGCCUAAGUCGGAUUAGCUAGUUGGUGGGGUAAAGGCCUACCAAGGCGACGAUCUGUAGCGGGUCUGAGAGGAUGAACCGGGACACUGGGACUGGGACACGGCCCAGACUCCUACGGGAGGCAGGAGUGGGGAAUAUUGGACAAUGGGGGGAACCCUGAUCCAGCCAUGCCGCGUGUGUGAAGAAGGCCUUAUGGUUGUAAAGCACUUUAAGCGAGGAGGAGGCUACUCUAGUUAAUACCUAGGGAUAGUGGACGUUACUCGCAGAAUAAGCACCGGCUAACUCUGUGCCAGCCGCCGCAGUAA
Molecule: ribosomal RNA, 501 nt
Filed under: uncultured bacterium
Lineage: Bacteria
Description: partial 16S ribosomal RNA
Rfam family: Bacterial small subunit ribosomal RNA
Source: RNAcentral